This 34927-nucleotide long non-coding RNA is filed under the name Medicago truncatula (barrel medic). RNAcentral's name for it is "long non-coding RNA (MTRU_LNC000181)". Lineage: Eukaryota; Viridiplantae; Streptophyta; Magnoliopsida; Fabales; Fabaceae. The record is from RNAcentral.
AGCCAAAUUAUACACAAGAAUAUAAAACAAAGCAUUUACUUGGUAGAUAAUAUUUUCUUUUUAAACAGCAAAUUUUAUUCAUAAUAAGAUAACCUAACACAAGAAGUGAAGAGGCUAUAGGGGAAAGACACAAGGUAACAAUACAUAAAGACAACUAAACCAAUGCUAAAAAGCCACAUCACAAAACCACCCAAACAACCCUUAAUACAAUAUAAUUGAACCAGUUUCCAUCAACACCACAUCAAUAGACCCCUAAAUAAUUGAACAAAAACCAGCCACCUAAACUUCCUGGUACCAGUAAAUUACAAUUACUUAGUAGAUAUUGAUAUGUCUUGUUGCAUUGAUGUUUCAGAAAUGUGUGGCUGGAGGGUAAUCUUUGGGUCGUAACUUCCACAAUAUCUUCGAGCAGCGAUUGAUUUUGGGAGGUUUGAAUUUUGGCAAGGCAGCAUCAACAGCAAAAUGUUGAGGAGCAAGCAUAAAAGCAGCAAGGAAUAACACUAAUAAGGAUAAGAAAAAGGAAUUAGCCAUUUUAAGAAGUGAUAUUAUUAUUGUGUUGGUGCAUAAUACAUAGGUAGUUAACUGGCUUUAUACUAGUUAGAGACUCAAUGUGAUUUUUUGGUCAAUCUAAGUCAUUGUGUAUGAAUUCAAUCAUUCAACACGUAGGUUCCAUGCAUUUGGAAAACUAGUUGAUGAUUAAUAAUGUUCAAUAUAUUAGGCUAUGAAUUGUUUAUGAAUUGAAUUAUUGAACAAUGUUACAUGUUCCAUGUAUUUGCAACUAGUUGAUGAUUGGUAGCUACCUAUCCUUUAAUUUUCCACACAACAAGACCAUUCAGUAAUAUUGGCUCUAUAUCUCCACUUGUUUGCCCACACCGUGGUUUAGCUGAAAAAACAGUGUACUGGAGGUGGAACAUGUUUUAAUAACAUUAAUAUGUAGAUAUUAUUAUUUAUGCAUUGAACCCUGUAUUGAUAAAAAUUCCACAUAGGUUACUUUAUUUGUCAUUUAUGCUUGAAUAUAUAAAUACAAAACAGUGUUUUUUCUUAUUAAAAUAGGGGGAUUUUAGGCUAGCUUUUGUUAUUCUAAUUAUACCCUUAAAUAAAUAAAAAAUCAAAUAAUGUAAUAUUGUUGGUAUAAUUAAAAAAAUAAGAAUUUUUGUUAUAUUAUUGUUGUCAUUGAGUAAGAUAAAUAUGGUUUGUUGAGUUUGUUACAUUUGAAAGUCACAUAUAUUUAUACUUAUAAUUUUAAUCUAUAUCAAAGAGUUUAUAUAAAAUAUCGGUUGUAAUUUACACGCAAAAUUUCUAUAAAUUAUCGUAGAUAAUCUAUACACGUUAACGUAUUAAAAAGAGUAGAAAGAUGCGCAUGUGACUGCCCGUAUUUUGGUCCCUUAACUUCUCUCUCUUACACAUUUUGGUCCUUUCCAUUAGUUUAAUUCAAAAACGUUGAAUUUUCUUCAUCUUCUUCUCCUCUUUUUCAUCUUCAUAUCAUCUCCAUCAACCUUCAACAACAAGAAUCCCAAAAAAAAUUAUAGAAGAAAAUGAAGAAAACCUAACGUUUUUGAAUUAAAACUAACGGAAAUGGCCAAAAUGUGUAACAGAGAGAAGUUAUGAGACCAAAAUAAAUCGAAUUUUAAUUAAGGGAUCAAAGCGAUACUACCUAAAUAGUUAAGGGACCAAAAAUGCAAUUUAGCCUAUAAUCUAAUAUCAUCGUUAUUAAAUAUUAUUUUAUAAUCUAAUAUCAUUGUUAUUAAAUUUUAUAGCAAGUAUCAAACGAAGAACCGAGAGUUGUUGUUUGAUAUUGUUAUUUAAUCAUGUCUCGUAUAUCAAAGGAAGGAUCGAGAGGUAAAAUUUGAUAUUGGAAUAAAUGAGAUUGUAAACGAUAAGCAAAAUAUGAGAAAAAUUUUGUGACUCUUAUGACAAUAAGGUUAUAAGGUUGCACUCAAAAAGUUUUAAUGAUUAUCAACUAUGAGAAUAGGUUUAAUUACUGUUGAGAUACAUUCAUGUAAUCUGAUAGGAAACAUGAAAUAUCAAAGAACAUCUUGUCCUUAGAAACGAAUAGAGAAAUAUAUAGGGAAUGUUUAGAAUUUAACUUUAUGAUGAAAACCUCAAUCUCAUGACGCAUUUUAAUAUCUGAAUUUUAAUCUAAAAAAUCAUUGCACUUAAUCAACUUAUCUUUUUCAGCUAAUCAAGACUAAAAAUUAGAUUAGAAUUUACUUUAAGUCCAUGUGAAUCGAUAUUUUACUAGAACCGUACACUUGCAGAAACCUAUCAAAGACCCUAUUGAUGUAUAUGGAAUCGUAGUUACCUAUCAAAGCUACAAAAUUUAGAUCGGACUUGGGGGUCUUUCUAACCGUUCUUGAAGUCGUAGGGGGGUUCGUUUACCGGAUGUAGCAUCGAAGGCUUGAGUGCAGAGUUCGAAGGGGUGCACAAGUAUUCAAGGAUCCGAAGAUUCAAGAAGCACCAAAUUUAAGGGUUACUUGGAGUUUGGGGGAGUGUUUUACAUAGGAGUUGAAGAAUUAGGUUUUAAUUUCAAGGAACUCUUGUAAACACAUUGUAUUCAACAUUUGUUACAUGGUGGAUGAUCUCGGUGAAGAUGUACUUAAUCAAGAAGAGUAGAGGUAGAUCUAGAGAGGACGAGAAAGAGCAAUCUAUUAUAAAAAUAUCGGUGUGAUCUCUCUUUCCCUAUCCUCUUUACUUUUAGAUAUUGCAUGUGAUUAAUUGAAUAAUUUUUAGGAUAAUUUCUAGUGUUGAUCUAAGUUGUUUUUCAUUGAAAAUCAAUCUAAUUCAUUGAAUUAGGUUUCAUAUAAUUUGCUUAGAUCAAUUGAAUGCAAAAUCUAUUCAAUUCUUCAAUUACACAUGUAUUGUGUUUUUUAUUUGAUAACUUAGUAAUUUUGUUCAUAUAGAUUUGGUUUGAAAUUGUCUAUUGUUUUAUACAUUGUUCAAGGAAUAUUAAAGUUUGAUUGUAUAAUAACAUUUAGUAACAAGGUGAUUGCAACACUUGAAAAAUUGUUAGCUGAUAUAGUGAUAUAGUAACAAUUGAGUAAAAGUGUUAGAUCCAAUACAACAAGUACCAUCCCUAAAAAAAAAACAAAAAUACAAGUAACAAUAGAACUCAUUCGUUAUUCAUUCACGUGUUAAAAAAUUUAGCUGAAAAAACAGUGUACUGGAGGUGGAACCUGUUUUAAUAACAUUAAUAUAUAGAUAUUAUUAUAUAUGCAUUGAACCCUGUAUGAUUUAUUGAUAAAAAUUCCACAUUACGUUAUUUGUCAUUUAUGCUUGAAUAUAAAAAUACAAAACAGUGUUUUUUCUUAUUAAAUUUUUUAAUUAAUUUAUAAAGACUUUUAAUAACUUAGUGUUUACCAAUUGCACUCAUUAAUUCUUAAUUAUAGAAUAAUUGUAAACCCAUUUUAGAUCCUCCAAAAAUGAAGAAAGCUCAUUCUUAGGACAACACAAAAUGGAAGAAACUCAAGAUUGUUGGCAUAUUGGUAGACUAUUUCUGUUUGACAAAUUCAAUAAUCUAGUUUAUAGUUUAUAAGUCCGAAUGAUUAAAAAAUAUAUGUUUCAUAACUGUUUUUUCAUCACAAGUUUUAUAGUUUAUUUUAUUAGUUUGUAGGUUUUUUUUUAGACUUUAUUCCAAAUGUGGAAUAACGUUUGAGAUUAUAGUUUAUCCUUUAUAAUCUAUAUUAUAUAUAAUGAAAAUAGGGGGAUUUUAGGCUAUCUUUUUUGUUAUUCUAAUUAUAUCCUUAAAUAAAAAGAAAUCAAAUAAUGUAAUAUUGUUGGUGUAAUUAAAAAAAUAAGAAUUUUUGUUAUAUUAUUGUUGUCAUUGAGAAAGAUAAAUAAAUAUAGUUUGUUGAGUUUGUUACAUUUGAAAGUCACAUAUAUUUAUACUUAUAAUUUCAAUCUAUAUCAAAGAGUUUAUAUAAAAUAUCGGUUGUAAUUUACAAGCAGAAUUUCUAUAAAUUAUCAUAGAUAAUCUAUACACGUUCACGUAAUAAAAAAAAGCAGAAAGAUGCGCACGUAAAUGCCCGUCUUUGCACUAGUUUAUUAUAAAAAAAAUGCUAAAAUGUUCAGUUCUUUUGGUCAUACUGCACAAAUUAUUUGGUAGCUUGACAUAUAUGUUACUGAUGUAAACUUCACUCUCACUUUAAUUAUGUUACUCCACAGUCCUCUAAAAUUGUGUUUCUCUUUUUUCCCUAAAACUUCUCUUUUGGAUUAUUCAAUCCGAAUUAAGUUGUUUCUGGUUUGAAAUAUAUAAUUUGAACUGCUUCUAUAUAUGUUUUCUCUUUAUUUUGUGGCUAUUUAUUAAUUGUGUGUAUAUCUGAUUUUAACACUUUCAAAUAUUGAUCGCAUGGGCUGUGUUAGGAAUGAUAGAAUUUCCUUGACUGCAUCUUCUAGGUGAGAGCAGACGUAGAAGAAUGUACUAGAAAGGAGAGUGGUCAAGGGCAGGGGCAUGGUCCGCAAUGCUGAGACGCAGAGAGGUCGUCAGUUCCUAGACAUUAGUGGAAGUUUAGGGCGCAUCGGGGAACAUGUCAGAAAUAUUUAACUUUUUUAGUGAAUAUUUUUUUAAUUUAAAAUUUUUAAAGAGUGUCUCGAAGAUACUCGUUGGCAAGACUGAUAAGUUGUAGUUAAUGGUGUUUUUAACAUUUAAAUUCAAUAAUAUUUACGUUGUUUUAGUUUUAAUUUAGAUUCAUUUUACUGGAAAGCAUUAGUUUUUGUUUUCAUAAUCAAAAAUUUGAAGAACAGUGUACCUGGAUCAAGAGCGAGGAUAAAGAGCCAUAAAGCAACAACAUGGAUUGUUCGUGGUUCCAUCUGGGUUGUGCACUUCUUAAAAUGUCAGAAUUUCAAAAGUUGAAGUACAAGCACGACCGUGCCCCCCAACACCGUAGAAAUAAGCAUGAUUGUGCGCUUCAGAAGCACGACUUUGCACCCCUCAAAACAUGUCAAAAGUUGGAAAGGUGAUCAUGACCGUGUACCCUUGAAGCAUGACUGUGCACCCUUGAAGCACGACCGUGCGUCUUGUGCAGAGAAAAUAGUUGUUACAACCUUUUAGAAUUCUUUAGUUUAUGGCUUGUAACUCGUUUUUAAUAUAUUAUAUGAGGCUCUAGGCUAUAAAUAUACCUCACUUCUAAGGAAAAAAGAAUCUUAGAUACUUGUAAACUUACUCUAAAGUUGAAAACAUAAUUUUGCAAUGUUCUAAGUUCUUUGUUCUUUAUUUUUCAUUUCUUUACAUUUGUGUUCUUUACUCUUCUGUUCUUUACAUUUUAAGUUAUUUACUUUCAUGUCUUUUACUUUCUUGUCUUUAUAUAUUAAUCAUUCGUCUACUAUGAGAGAGAGAGAGAGAGAGAGAGAGAGAGAGAGAGAGAGAGAGAGAGAGAGAGAGAGAGAGAGAGAGAGAGAGAGAGAGAGAGAGAGAGAGAGAGAGAGAGAGAGAGAGGUGAUAUUAGUGCAGAACACAUAGCAAAAGAGAAUGAAAAAAGAAGAUCCCGAUCCUUUUCUAAAGGAGAAUCAACCAUCUAUAUAACGACAAAUUUAAACCCAUCAAGUACAAAAAAACGAUCAAGGUAAAAAAUAUAAACGGAACAUUGAACAAUUUUAUUAAAUUAUAAUAAACUUCAAAGGGUAAAAUUGGUUUUUAGAUAAACAUAUAAGGGGUUACCAAAUAGGGUUACAAGUUAUAAGCUUGUGAAGAAAACGUCUUGGUUGACUUCAAUGACUAAAGUAACUAAGACCAAAGAGUGAAUGAUUUAAUUCGGAUUUUAUCUAAGUCAUUGACCAAAAUUACAUCUUGUUACACUUUUAAGGAGAAAAAUGGUUGUUUUCUCAAUAAUGUUUUCCAAUAUUAAAUUAAUGUUGUUUUCUGCCUUAGGGAUGUUACCAAUUUGUUAUGUUGGAGUUACCUUUAGUGCUAAGAAACCUUUAGACCAAUAAAAAUAUUUUGAGUCCCUUUUAAAGUGGUAAAUACACUAAUAUAAAGUCAUUGUCAAUUGAUGUUAGGACUAUUUAUUAAUAAUGCAAUAUUUACUUGUUGUUCUUUGGUAGACACUUAAGGUGCGUUUGAUUUGUUAAAAAAUGAAGGACAGAACAACUCUAGUUGUCCAGUGUUUGAUUUGUAAAACUGUUUUAGGUACAAGACAAUUUGGAGGCAAGGGACAGGACAAAAACUCAUUUUUGUCCCUCACCAACCCACAACACAACUUUUUGUCCCACGUACAAGUUGUCUAAAAUACCAAAAUAGCAUUUUGUCCCUCAAAAAUCGUAUAAAACAAAAAAUUACUCAAUGCCAUAAAAAAUUUGUCCUGUCUUGUUCUGCCUUGUGUUGUACUGUUCUAUCUUGUACUGUUUUGUCCGGUACUUGCUGUUUUGCAAACCAAACACACCCUUAGAGGUCAUUUUUGUGGACUGUAGGUACCUAAAGCUCUAUGAACUUGGUUAUAUCAUAGAUAACGUCGUAUUGGAAAAACGGAAAUGAAAGACUCAUCUCUCACUCUACUUAGGGCUAGCCAAUUGUCAAACGCCAAUUGUCAAACUUGGUUACAAUUAAUUUUUUUUGGAAAACUUAUUUUGAAUUUUCUACAUGUCAUGAAAAAUUCAAAUUUCUGUUUUCUGAUUAGAAGAUCAAUAAACGGUUCAAUAUCAUCACAAUCUCCAAAUCAUAACUUCAUUCAUUUGCAAAUCUAGAGCACAUAUAUCACGAUUUUCUAUCAUGAUUUGCAUUGAUAUAAGUAAGUAUAACACAUAUAUUUUACUCUUAACUUAGCCAUACAUUGCGGAUUUACUUAGUAGAUAGAGUAAUGUUUUUUUUUAAACAACAAAUUUUAUUCAUAAGCUAACCCAACACAAGAAGUGAAGAGGCUAGAGGAAACACACAAGACAACAGAUACAUAAAGACAACUAAACCACCCAAACAAUCCUUAAUACAAUAGAAUAACAUCAGAAAAACCAGCCACCUAAACUUCCUAGUACCAUGAAACAAUGUCAGGUCGCGUUGAUUUUUAGGCUGGAGGGCAAUGUUUGUUUCGGAAGUUCUCGACUUUCUUCAACAAAGGGUAGUGCUUUUUGCAGAAAUCGGGUAUAUGGGGUAUAUGUACUGGUUUAUCUUUUGGGAUUAAAUUUUUGAUUUUUGGGAUUAAUGCUUCAACUGCGGGACCAAAGCUAACAGCAUCAGCAAAAUGUUGUUGAGGAGCAAGCAUAAAAGCAGCAAGGAAUAACACUAAUAAGGAUAAGAAAAAUGAAUUAGCCAUUUUAAGAAGUGAUAUAAUUAUUAGUGUUGGUGCAUAAUACAUAUGGAGUAUACUGGUUUUAUACUAGUUAGAGACUCAAUGUGAGUUUAUGGUCGAUCUAAGUCAUUUACUAAAUGUCAAAAUUGUGUAUGAAUUGAAUUAUUCAACAAUGUUACAAGUUCCAUGUAGUUGCUACUAGUUUAUGAAUUGAAUUAUUCAUUCGAUUCUCCGCGCGACUCAGGUGCAUGCCGAAACCGUUUUAAUUAUAUGAGCAAAUUAAUAAAUAAAUGGGUUGGUGCUUAUGAUGGUGCUAAGCGUUUGCAAGGAAGCGGUUGGUCGAAAGAUGAUGUUUUGGAAAAAGCCCAUGAAUUAUAUGUGAAACACCCCGUUUUCCCAACUUGAAUUUUUUUGCAUAAAUCAGAGUAAAACAACUAAACAGGAUGCUGCACUUCUUUCAAAUCUGAAUAUAGUAAAAUUACUAAUUAUCUCAAUCAUCAAAUUAAAUCUUAUUGCAGCGGAAAUUAGUUCAACGUUUAAAACAACCUUGGCACAAAGGCCUCAAUGUAAAAUCUCAUAAAAUUAUUCCAACAACAUGUUCAUAAAACUUCAUAAAAUAAUACGUAAGGAACGUAAAGCAACAACAAAAUUCUCAUCCCGUUACGUAUCAGAGCACCUAAGACACACGUGAGAGAAUCCACUCACGACCGCAACUAUUCUUGGUUACCUGCAAGUUACUCAAUUGUGAGGGCAACAUUUCCAAGCAGAAGGGGUGAGAUUUCACAUUCAAUAAUAAUAAGCAUAUAAUUCAUCAAAUUCAUUUAACAACUUAAACUUCAUCAAUUAGUAACACUAACUCUUCGCAUAAAUACUUCAUUAAUUAAUAACAUUAACUCUUCCUAUAAGACUUCAUUAAUAACUCAAUCAACUUCUAAUCAUCAUUAACUUCAUAUUCAUCACAUUAUAUACAACGUCAUACAGCACGUAAUAAUCAAAUCAUAAACAUCAUCAUAUAAAAACCUAAUCAUCACAUCAUAAACAUCAUCUUAUAACAUCAUAUAGUUCACAUCAUAAACAUCAUCAUAUAACAACAUAAACAUCACAACAUAAACAUGAAAUAAGGUUAUAAGGUUGCACUCAAAAAGUUUUAGUGAUAGUCAACUAUGAGAAUAGGUCUAAUUACUGUUGAGAUACAUUCAUGUAAUCUUAUAGGAAACAUGAAAUACCAAAGAACAUCUUGUCCUUAGAAAUGAAUAGAGAAAUAGAUAUGGAAUGUUUAGGAUUUAACUUUAUGAUGAAAACCGCAAUCUCAUGACGCAUUUUUAUAUCUAAAUUUUAAUCAAAAAAAAUAAUUGCACUUAAUCAAUUUAUUUUUUUCAGCUAAUCAAAACUAAAAAUUAGAUUAGUAUUUACUUAAAGUCCAUGUGAAUCGAUAUUUUACUAGAACCGUACACUUGCGUAAACCUAUCAAAGACCCUAUUGAUGUAUAUGGAAUCGUAGUUACCUAUCAAAGCUACAAAAAAAAUUAGAUCGGAAUUGGGGUCUUUCUGACCAUUCUUGAAGUCGAAGGGGGUUCGUUUACUGGAUGUAGCAUCGAAGGCUUGAGUGAAGAGUUCGAAGGGGUGCACGGGUAUUCAAGGAUCUGAAGAUUCAAGAAGCACCAAAUUUAAGGGUUACUUGGAGUUUGGGGGAGUGUUUUACAUAGGAGUUGAAGAAUUAGGUUUUAAUUUCAAGGAACUUUUGUAAACACAUUUGUAUUCAACUAUUAUAAAAAUAUCGGUGUUAUCUCUCUUUCCCUAUCCUCUUUACUUUUAGCUAUUGCAUGUGAUUAAUUGAAUAAUUUUUAGAAUAAUUGCUAGUGUUGAUCUAAGUUAUUUUUCAUUGAAAAUCAAUCUAAUUCAUUGAAUUAGGUUUCAUAUAAUUUGCUUAGAUCAAUUGAUUGAAAAAUCUAUUCAAUUCUUCAAUUACACAUGUAUUGUGUUUUUGAUUUGAUAACUUAGUAAUUUUGUUCAUGUAGGUUUGGUUUGAAAUUGUCUAUUGUUUUGUACAUUGUUCAAGGAAUAUUAAAGUUUGAUUGUAUAAUAAGAUUUGUAUCGUGAAUCUCUCAAUUCUAAGAUUAAGUCUCAUUGCACAUAUAUUUGACCUUUUGAUUCCUUGAUUGUCAUUGUUCGACCACGAAUCCAAUAGUCAAUUUUGUUGAGAGAGAGAGAGAGAGAGAGAGAUUGGAUGGACGGGUGAUAUUAGUGCAGAACACAGCAAAAGAGAAUCGAAAAAAGAGGAUCUUGAUCCUUUUCUAAAGGAGAAUCAACCAUCUAUAUAAUGACAAUUUUAAACCCAUCAAGUACAAAAAUAACGAGCAAGGUGAAAAUAUAAACGUAACAUUGAACUAUUUUAUUAAAUGAUAAUAAACUUCAAAGGGUAAAAUUGGUUUUUAGAUAAACAUAUAAGGGGUUACUAAAAAGGGUUACAAGUUUUUUUUUUUUUUUGAAAGAAGGGAUACAAAUUAUAAGCUUGCGAAGAAAAGACGGUUAUCAAACACAGCCUAUGCAGCUCAUGAAGCUGCCAUAAAAAUUUUAAUAGUGGGGGAUGUUUAAUGAAGAUUAGUAGUAGUGUUACGUUAUUCAUGGAGCUAUAGUUAUAAAUAAUUUUAAAGUGGGUAAUGUUUAUUGAAGAUAGGGAGAUCGAAGCGGAAAUGCUGAAAAAUGAUGAUGGAAAAAUAUAAAUCGAUAUUAUCUUUUAUUUUAGUCAGAAUUUAAAUUUGGUAUUUUUCAGUAUCCAUGUCGGCGAUUUUGACUAAUUUUGAUUAAGUAAACGUCUUAGUUGACUUCAAUGACUAAAGUAACUAAGAACAAAGAGUGAAUGAUUUAAUUCGGGUUUUAUCUAAGUCAUUGACCAAAAUUACAUCUUGUUACACUUUUAAGGAGAAAAAUGGUUGUUUUCCCAAUAAUGUUUUCCAAUAUUAAAUUAAUGUUGUUUUCUGCCUUAGGGAUGUUACCAAUUUGUUAUGUUGGAGUUACCUUUAGUGCUAAGAAACCUUUAGACCAAUAAAAAUAUUUUGAGUCCCUUUUAAAGUGGUAAAUACACUAAUAUAAAGUCAUUGUCAAUUGAUGUUAGGACUAUUUAUUAAGAAUGCAAUAUUUACUUGUUGUUCUUUGGUAGACACUUAGAGUUCAUUUUUGUGGACUGUAUGAACUUGGUUAUAUCAUAGUUAACGUCGUAUUAGACAAACGGAAAUGAAAGACUCAUCUCUCACUCUACUUAGGACUAGCCAAUUGUCAAACUUGGUUACAAUUUAUUUUGUUUGGAAAACUUAAUUUGAAUUUUCUACAUGUCAUGAAAAAUUCAAAUUUCUGUUUUCUGAUUAGAAGAUCAAUAAACGGUUCAAUAUCAUCACAAUCUCCAAAUCAUAACUUCAUUCAUUUGCAAAUCUAGAGCACAUAUAUCACGAUUUUCUAUCAUGAUUUGCAUUGAUAUAAGUAAGUAUAACACAUAUAUUUUACUCUUAACUUAGCCAUACAUUGCGGAUUUACUUAGUAGAUAGAGUAAUGUUUUUUUUUAAACAACAAAUUUUAUUCAUAAGCUAACCCAACACAAGAAGUGAAGAGGCUAGAGGAAACACACAAGACAACAGAUACAUAAAGACAACUAAACCACCCAAACAAUCCUUAAUACAAUAGAAUAACAUCAGAAAAACCAGCCACCUAAACUUCCUAGUACCAUGAAACAAUGUCAGGUCGCGUUGAUUUUUAGGCUGGAGGGCAAUGUUUGUUUCGGAAGUUCUCGACUUUCUUCAACAAAGGGUAGUGCUUUUUGCAGAAAUCGGGUAUAUGGGGUAUAUGUACUGGUUUAUCUUUUGGGAUUAAAUUUUUGAUUUUUGGGAUUAAUGCUUCAACUGCGGGACCAAAGCUAACAGCAUCAGCAAAAUGUUGUUGAGGAGCAAGCAUAAAAGCAGCAAGGAAUAACACUAAUAAGGAUAAGAAAAAUGAAUUAGCCAUUUUAAGAAGUGAUAUAAUUAUUAGUGUUGGUGCAUAAUACAUAUGGAGUAUACUGGUUUUAUACUAGUUAGAGACUCAAUGUGAGUUUAUGGUCAAUCUAAGUCAUGUACUAAAUGUCAAAAUUGUGUAUGAAUUGAAUUAUUCAACAAUGUUACAUGUUCCUUCCAUGUAUUUGCUACUAGUUGAUGAUCAGUCCCUACCUAUCCUUUAAUUUUCCACACAACAAGACCAUUCAGUAAUAUUGGCUCUAUCUCUCCACUUGUUUGCCCACCAUGGUUUAGCUGAAAAAACAGUGCAACUUGUUUCAAUAACAUUAAUAUAUAUAGAUAUUACUAUUUAUAUAUGCAUUGAACCCUGUAUGAUUUAUUUAUUUAUAAAAAUUCCAAAUAGGUUACUUUAUUUGUCAUUUAUGCUUGAAUAUGAAAAUACAAAACAGUGUUUUUUCUCAUUAAAAUUUUUACUAUAAAGAUUUUUAAUAACUUAGUGUUUACCAAUUGCACUUACUAAUUCUUAAUUAUAGAAUGAUGAUUAAAAAUUGUAUGUUUCAUAACUGUUUUUCAUCACAAGUUUAUAGUUCACUUCUCAGACGUUAUUCCAAAUAACGUUUGAGAUUAUAGGUUAUCAUUUUAAUUUCAUGUUUACCUUUAUUAUUUUGUUUAAGAUUUAUUUUUAUCCUUUUUAAUAUAUACUAUUUAUAAAGAAAAUAUAGGGAUUUUGGGCUGACUUUUUUGUUAUUCCAAUUAUACCUUUAAAUAAAAAAAAAUCAAAUAAUGUGAUAUGGUUGGUGUUAAUAAAAAGAUAAGAAUUUUUGUUAUAUUAUUGUUGUCAUUGAGAAUCAUAAAUAUUGUUUGUUGAGUUUGUUACAUUUGAAAGUCACAUAUCAUACUUUUAAUUUUUGUCUAUAUCAAAAAAUUUAUAUAAAAUAUCGUUUGUAAUUUACACGCAGAAUUUCAAUAAAUUAUCGUAAAUAAUUUAUACACAUUAACGUAAUAAAAAGAGCAGAAAGAUGAACAUGUGAAUGCUCGUCUUUUCGCUAGUUUAUUAUAAAGAAUAUGCUAAAUGUUUGGUUCUUUUGUCAUACUACACAAAUUAUUUGGUAGCUUUAUAUAUAUGUUACUAAUGUUAAUUUCACUCUCACUUUAAUUAUGUUACUCCAGAGUCCCUCUGAAAUAAUGUUUCUCUUUUUGCCCUAAAACUUCUCUCUUGCCAUCCAAAAUUUAAAACUCCCAUAUUAUAUGAUUCAUGAAGAUUUUUUGCUUCAAAACAUUGAUCAGGUCUUUUCAAACACGGACAACAAGGUAGGGUAUCAUUCCUUCCCUUUAGUGUUAUUUGAAUCUUUUUUUUUUUUCUUCUGUAAACUAAAACCUUAUAGAUUAUAUAAUAAUCUGAAUCAAGUUGUUCCUGGUUUGGAUUAUAUAAUUUGACAUGCUUCUAUAUAUAUGUUGUUUUGUUAUUUUGUGGAUAUUUUUUUAUUUUUUUUAGACAAAAGAGGAAUUAAAUUAAAAUAGAAAAGGAGGUAUAAGAUUGGGGGCAAUGACCUGACCAGUAAACCACAAAAUCAAAAUACAACAAUUUCAGUACAAAGUGGUAUACAACGAACACAACCCUAAACAAUCACUACUACGGACAAUUCAGCGAACCCACGUAUGAGCGCCAAACCGAAUUGCAAAAAAAACGUAGAGUGAGUAUUCAGAACUUCUAAAUAGGCGUAUGGAUCGACUGCCAACACAAAAACGAUCCAAGAUCAAGCAGCUCCCAUCAAAUAUCAGCAAGCAAUAAACGCCCUUUCGGGCCAACCAUUCCAGUCGUAGUUCAGUUCGAGGGAUGAACAAACGACAUAAAUGUAAAGCAGUCCACUGACAACGCAUAAAGCAACCGUAGCAGAUAAAGUCCUGCAGGUACGACAUCAACAACUAUCGUCAACCAGAGCGUCUACGCACUUAGCCCUUUCGUGCAUAUCAGGCGAAACAAGUCUUGUUGAAUCCAGAUCGAGGGAUGGUAUCCAACCAAACAUCGCACAAAUGAACAGAACCAUAACCAAAUCUUAAAUCCAGACAAACCAAAUUCAAAAUUUCAACUAAACCGGAUAGCCAGAAUAAGACCACCACCAAUCUUCAUCUUCCCGAAACAACAUAAAACACCAUUCGAUUCUUCAUGGUCUUCUUCUUUCAAACUAGUGCGUCUUCCUGGAACCGCCAUUGAUGUGAAAUUCGACUAUCUUUGCCGCCGCUUCAACUUCAAACUACUAUGCCAUUGACGCUUUUAAUUUAGUGGGAGAAAAAAGAAAAAGAUCGAAAUGAAAGUAGAAGAAGAAGGUUUGGUGUGUGUUUUUGAAGAAGAAGACGAAGAAAAAAAAAAGUUUGUGUUGUUACGUGUGAGAGGGUGUGGUGGUAAGCUUGUAUAUGAGAGAGAAAUAUAUGUCUAGAGUUUUGAUGUCUAAAGAAGACCACAAUUAAUGUGACAUUGGAAAAUGAAAGGGUGGAUGCAUGGGUACCAAAAUCUCAUAAUUAUUUGUUGGAAGAUGCAUAAGGAAGAGAGAGUUAUCCCCAAUAAAUGAGAGUGGGGAAUAGUUGAAAGAAGUGGCUUUUACAAAGUAGAAUGCUGAUUAGAAUUAACAAUUAAGUGUAGAUGAUCAACGGUUGAUGUUGAAUGGCGCCUAAAUGAUGAUCAGCAUCCAAUGGCUUGCAAAAUUGGAGAGAAAAAUGAGGGGGGAAAAUUAGGGUUAAGGAUAGCUUCGGGGGAUAAGCUUUAGUAAGUAAGAUUGUCUUAUAUACUUACAUUAUUUUAGGUCUAAAUUUCAGAAACCAUUAUUUGACAAUUUUUUUGACAAUUUUAUCUCACAUACUCACAUUAUAUUUUUACUUCUCUUUUUGUUGUUUUGGUUUUUAUUUUCAUACCUAAUUUUCCUUGUAAAUCUAUAGUUGUCUCAUAAAUUAUCGUUAAAAUUGUUGUUCAAAUAACACAACUCUUAUUUCUAAUACUCAAAAUUUGUUCAAAUUAAGUUUUUAAAGAACUUCUAAUAAAGUCAGAUUAAAGUUUUUUUGAACUUUUUAAAUACUUAAAUUGAAUUUUCUCCAAUAUACAUAUUAGAGAAAGAAAAAAAAUAAUGAUAGGAGGGAGAUGCAAAACUUAUGUUUUCUUUCUCUAGAAACAUAUUUUGAGUUUUCAAUAUCAUCAAAAUCUCAAAAUCAUAAACUUUAUUUAUUUGCAAAUCUAGAGCACAUAUAGCGCGAUUUUCUCUCAUAAUUUACAUUGAUAUAACACAUAUUAUGUUCUUACCUUGCCCAAACAUUCGGGAUUUAAUUGAUGAUGUAAAAGACGUUUUUAAAUGUAGAAUAAGAAAGAUGGAAAACCUCCAAGCCAAAUUAUACACAAGAUAUACAAAUUAUACACAAAAAUUUCAAAUUUCAAUUUUCUCGAGAGUAUUCUUAAAUGAUCAAUCAAUGAUUCAAUAUAAUCACAAUCUCAAAAUCAUAAACUUUAUUUAUUUUCAAAUCUAGAGCACAUAUAGCGGGAGGAGAUUGUCUCGUGUGAUUUUUCUCUCAUGUGUAAUCCAGACCCUCCAUUAAAUAUGUGAGAUAAUGUGUUUGUAAUAUAAAAUGACCGAACGCAAGAUAAAUUGUUUUUUUCUAAACAAUAAAUUUUAUUCAUAAGCAUUCCCGUGAGCUUAGCUCAGUUGGUACGGAUAUUGCAUUUUAUAUGCAGGGGCUGAGGUUCGAACCCCAGACACCCCACUUCUCCACAAUUAAAUUGUGUGAGCUCUAACCACUAGACUACUUGACCAAGAAAAAAAGAAAUAUUCAUAAACUAACCCAACACAACACAAGAAGUGAAGAGGCUAUAGAGGAAAGACACAGGGUAACAAUACAUAAAGACAACUAAACCAAGGCUAAAAAGCCACAACACAUGUAAAUGGCUUAUCACAGCAGAAAACAAGGUAUAUCAAUAUCAUGUGUGACUACAAAACCGCCCAAACAACCCUUAAUACAAUAGAAUCACAGCAGAAAACACCCUUAGUAGAUAUUGAUAUGCCUUGCCGCGUUGAUGUUUUAGAAAUGUGCAGGUGGAGGGCAAUUACUGGGUCGGUUAUGCCCGUUUUUCCUCGAGCAGGGAUUUAAUGAGGGCUUUUGGGAUGGUUUAGGACGAGGGAAAGGUACUGGUUUGGAUGGAGUGAAAUGGGGUAAAUGCUUUAUGAUUCCUGGAGGGAGAUGUAUGGCAUCAACAGCAAAAUGUUGAGGAACAAACAUAAGAGCAGCAAGGAAUAACACUAAUAAGGAUAAGAAAAAGGAUUUAGCCAUUUUAAGAAGUGAUAUAAUUAUUAGUGUUGGUGCAUAAUACAUAGGGAGUUAAACUGGUUUUAUACUAGUUAGAGACUCAAUGUGAGUCUAUCGUCAAUCAAAGUUAAAAUUGUGCACGAAUUGAAUUAUUCAACAAUGUUACAAGUUCCAUGUAUUUGAUACUAGCUGAUGAUCAUUUAGUAUUAUUGGCUCUAUCUCUCCACUUGUUUGCGCACAUGGUUUACCUGAAAAAACAGUGUACUGGAGGUGCAACUUGUUUUAAUAGCAUUUUUUGUUGAGCACAUCAUGAGACAACACCGACAUCCUAACUAGAUUAGUAUUUCAGGACGCCUCCGUCCUAUGCCUGCCAAUCUCUAAAUUUUAUUAAAAAAGGGUAAAAAUAUAUACAAGGAGAGUGAGGACUAGGCCAAAAUCCUCAAUGAAAAAACCAAAGGAAACAAUAAAAAAUAAAGCCUACUGAAAUCUAUAAUUGGGUGAGCCAAUUCUGUCUCUAUAGAAGUCGAAAUGCAACUCUGCACGAAGCGUGUCUAACCAAACAGAACCCUGAAUAUCAUGACCCUCGGACAUUCCAAUAUAACAUCAUUGGGAAGAUGGAGGAAGACCACUCUUUCCAAGGAUUUGAUAAUGCGGCUUUCCGAAGACUUACUUCUUCAUAUUUAACGCGGCUUUUUUGAGAGAACUUGCGUAAAUCCUUUCUUUACGGCCCGUUGAUCGUAUUCUUUGAUUCUGGCCCAUAAAUCCAAGUCAUUCUGUACGUUUUUGCUAGUGUUUUAAUAACAUUAAUAUAUAGAUAUUACUAUUUAUAUAUGCAUUGAACCUGUAUGAUUUAUUUAUAAAAAUUCCAAAUAAAUUACUUUAUUUGUCAUUUAUGCUUGAACAUAAAAAUACAAAACAUUGUUUUUUCUCAUUAAAAAAUUUAAUUAAUUUAUAAAGCUUUUUAAUAAAUUAGUGUUUACCAAAUUGCACUCAUUAAUUCUUAAUUAUUGAAUGAUUGUAAACUCAUUUUAGAACCUCCAAAAAUGAAGAAAGCUCAUUCUUAGGACAACACAAAAUGGAAAACACUCAAGAUUGUUGGCAUAUUGGUAGACUAUUUCUAUCUGACAAAUUCAAUAAGCUAGUUUAUAGUUUAUAAGUCCGAAUGAUUAAAAAAUGUAUGUUUCAUAACCGUUUUUUCAUCACAAGUUUUAUAGUUUAUUUUAUUAGUUUGUAGCUUAUUUUUUAGACGUUAUUUUAAAUAACGUUUGAGAUUAUAGUUUAUCAUUUUUAUUUGUGUUUACCUUUAUUAUUCUGUUUAAGAUUUAUUUUUAUCCUUCAUAAUCUAUACUACUACCGUUUAUUCUGUUUGACAUUAUAGUUUAUUUUUAUUUGUAGUAUAUAUAAAGAAAAUAGGGGGAUGUUAGGCUAGCUUUUUUGUUACUCUAAUUAUACCCUAAAAUAAAUAAAAAGUCAAAUAAUAUUAUAUUGUUGGUGUUAUUAAAAAGAUAAGAAUUUUUGUUAUAUUAUUGUUGUCAUUGAGAAAGAUAAAUAUGGUUUAUUGAGUUUGUUACAUUUGAAAGUCACAUAUAUUUAUACUUGUAAUUUUAAUCUAUAUCAAAGAGUUUUUAUAAAAUAUAGGUUGUAAUUUACACGCAGAAUUUCUAUAAAUUAUCGUAGAUAAUCUAUACACGUUAACGUAGUAAAAAGAGAAGAAAGAUGCGCACGUGAGUGCCCGUCUUUUCACUAGUUUAUUAUAAAGAAAAUGUUAAAAUGUUCAAUUAUUUUGGUCAUACUGCACGAAUUAUUUGGUAGCCUGGCAUAUAUGUUACUAAUGUUAAUUUCACUCUCACUUUAAUUAUGUUACUCCACAGUCCUCUAAAAUCGUGUUUCUCUUUUUGCCCUAAAACUUCUCUUUUAUGUUACUCCACAAUCCUCUAAAAUCGUGUUUCUCUUUUUGCCCUAAAACUUCUCUUUUUGAUUAUUCAAUCCGAAUCAAGUUGAUCUGGUUUGGAUUAUAUAAUUUGAACUGCUUUUAUAUAUGUUGUUUCUUUAUUUUGUGGAUAUUUGUUAAUUGUUUGUACAUCUGAUUUUAACACUUUCAAAUAUUGACCGCAUGGGCUGUGUUAGGAACGAUAGAAUUUCCUUGACUGCAUCUUCUAGGUGAGAGCGUAUGUAGAAGAAUGUAGUGGAAAGGAGAGUGGUCAAGGGCAUGGGCAUGGGCCGCAAUGCUGAGACGCAGAGAGGUCGUCAGUUCCUAGACAUUAGUGGACAGUUACGGCGCAUCGAGGAACAUGUCAGAAGUAUUUAACUUUUUUAGUGAAGAUUUUUUUAAUUUAGAAUUUUUAAAGAGUGUCUCGAAAACACUCAUUAGCAAGACUGAUAAGUUGUAGUUUAUGGUGUUUUUAUCAUUUAAAUUCAAUAAUAUGUACGUUGUUUUAGUUUUAAUUUAGAUUCAUUUUACUGGAAAACAUUAGUUUUUAUUUUCAUAAUCAAAAUUAUGAAGAACAUUAUACCUAGAUUAAGAGCGAGGAAAAAGAGCCAUGAAAGAGCCAUAAAGCAGCAGCACGGAUGGUCCGUGGUUCCAUCUAGGUCGUGGAGUUCUUAAAAUGUCAAAAUUUCAAAAGUUGAAGUACAAGCACAACCGUGUGCCCCAACACGGUAGAAACAAGCAUGAUUGUGCACUUCAGAAGCACGACUUUUGCACCCCUCAAAACACAACAAAAUGUCAAAAGUUGGAAAGGUGAGCAUGACCGUGCACCCUUGAAGCACGACCGUGAGUCUUGUGCAGAGAAAAAUAGUUGUUACAACCUCUUAAAGUUCUUUGGUUCAUGGCUUGUAACUUGUUUUUAAUAUAUUUGUCUGAGGCUCUAGGCUAUAAAUAUACCUCACUUCUAAGGAAAAAAGAAUCUUAGAUACUUGUAAACUUACUCUAAAGUUGAAAGCAUAAUUUUGCAAUGUUUUAAGUUCUUUGUUCUUUAUUUUUCAUUUCUUUACAUUUGUAUUCUUUACUUUUCUGUUCUUUACAUUUUCAGUAUUUUAUCUUCAUGUCUUUAUAUUUUAAUCACAUGUCUAUUAUGAUCAUAUGUUAGUAAACAAACUAUUCUAGUCUUGGAAUUGUUAGAAUAAUCAAUCUAAUGAUUGAAUGUUAAUCAACCCAAGUCUAGACUCUAUUUUAUAAGAAUCCAUUUUAUAAUCUAAUAUCAUCGUUACUAAAUUUUAUUUUAUAAUCUAAUAUCAUUGUUAUGAAAUUUUAUAACAAGUAUCAAACAAAGAACUGAGAGUUGAUGUUUGAUAUUGUUAUUUAAUCAUGUCUAAGAUAUCAAACGAAGGACCGAGAGGUGAAAUUUGAUAUUGGAAUAAAUGAGAUUGUAAGAGAUAAGCAAAAUAUGAAAAUAAUUUUAUGACUCUUAGGACAAUAAGGUUAUAAGGUUGCACUCGAAAAGUUUCAAUGAUAAUCAACUAUGAGAAUAGGUUUAAUUACUGUUGAGAUACAUACAUUCAUGUAAUCUGAUAGGAAACUGAUAGAAUAUGUGUUACUUAGUCAUGUAAUUUGUAUUAUUAAAAGAAUAUUAAUACGUAUUCAUUGUGUUAAUUAGUCAUUCAUUUUGUAUUCAUUAGUCAUUAAGAGAAUGAUAACAAUUUGAUGUAUAUAAUGCACUCAGAUUAUCAAUGAAAAUCAUUCAGCUAUUUUCCUAUAUGGUAUCAGCUAGGUUUUAGAUCCUCUCCUACUUCUUCUAGCCGCCCACCACCACCUUUUCUUCCCUAUACUUCCGUUAUAAACCGCCAUCCAUGGCUACCUCAACAACAGCUGAAUCAACCACUCUCUCAACAAAUUCCUCUCCCGUGACAGACACAUUUGUCUCAACGGCACCAUCAUCAAAAAUUCACUCGGCCUUCACUAUCAACAACGUGAAGUCUAUCAUUCCCGUAACCUUGCACAAUGGCAGAAUGCUUUUCAUUGAUAAUCUGAGUGCAUUAUAUACAUCAAUUUGUUAUCAUUCUCUUAAUGACUAAUGAAUACAAAAUGAAUGACUAAUUAAUAUAAAUGAAUACCUAUUAAUAUUCUUUUAAUAAUACAAAUUACAUGACUAAGUAACACAUAUUCUAUCACUCCCACGCAGUUGAUGCGGGAGGUUGUCGGACGCUGAGUCUGUCCCUAAAAUCUUGAAAUAAAACCAAUGGGAGACCCUUAGUGAAGAUAUCUACAAUUUGAUAGCGUGAUGGAACAUGUAGGACACGGAUGUCUCCACGAGCUACUUUUUCACAAACAAAAUGAAUGUCCAUUUCGAUAUGUUUUGUGCGUUGGUGCUGGACGGGAUUUCGGAUAGAUAUAUGGCACUAACAUCCUUAUUAUCUAAUCCUAAACUACAAUGCACACAACAAUUGCAAAACCCUAAUCCUUGGUUUUGAGCGGGAAAAUUGUGAUUUAACCACAUUUAAUGGCAUUUUUGAAUUUCAAAUCAUGUACCCUUUUGAAAUGUGUGCAUAUGUGCCUAAUUAAUGCAGAUUUUGAAAUUCAAAUAUCCCACCACUUGGAAUUGUGCUCGCUUCUUUCCAAGACAUGCAGUUACCCACUUCUCAAUGCAAAAGCAUCUGAACCAAACAAACCUAUUUCCUUGCAUUUUGCUCUUUCUCCCUCUCUCUCACUCCCCUCUCACGCCCAUUUUUCUCUAAUCAGAAAAGGUCAACGAUUUUCAGUCCCUCUUCUCUUCUCUCUCACUCCAGUUUUCUCUCAAAAAAAAGCCUCUUCUCUUCUCCCACGUUAUUUUUUUCUUCAUUUUCUAACAUUCUUCUUCAAUUCUCCAUCUCUCUCUCUCAUUGUUUCUCGCGUAGCUCUUCGUGUCUUAGUUUGGGUGUUCUCUUCAUCGCCGGUCAGCCUCACCAAGGCAAUAAGCAUCUUCAAGUUUUAUUGAAAGAGAAUGCUUCUAUGCAACAAAAUUUUCAAGACCUUCGAUCCCUCGGUAUGCGUUUUCAGUUUCGUUACGUUUUGAUUGAUUUUGAUUUCGCGAUUAGGAUUUUGGUAUCACCGGUGUUGUUUUGAUUGAUUUUUCCGAUUUGAUAGGAAAGGAGCUUGAAGAAGGUGGAGUUCUCAGUGAAUCGGCACUGUCGCGGAAGGUUUUUCUUUUCAUCAACGAUCUUCUCUCUCAUUCUCUCUCAUUCGCUGCUCUUCUACUAAGCUUUGAUUGUGGAACGUAUGAAGGCAGAGUGACAUCUGAUAACGAUCAGAAUCAAGGCUACUAAGCUUAGAUUAUGGCUUCUAGGGGCAGAGGAAAAUGAGGAAGAAAAAGCACCAUCAAUUACAAUCUGCUCUACAUGUAUAAUGUUUUCCGUAUUCGAAUUAUUUCAAAUUGCAAGUAAUUUAAAUUGAGUUUUAAGGUAGUUUUCUUUGACUGCAAGUAUAAGGGGCUUAUUUCACAAGGUUAUACUUAGAUGUGUAUAUUCACUAUUGAAGCUUAUUUUGAGUUUCCGUGAUGACUUACUUUAUCGAAAUCACGGUGUGCCGCCGCGAUUUAGAAAAAGUUAUAGGGUGCAGCUUUUACAAUAACUAAAAAUUAACUAAUGAUUUGCCUGAAGUUUCUAAUUCUUUUUAUUGGUCCGAUUACAGUCCCUCUCUGAUGAUUUUCUACAACUAUCAGAUUUGAUUGAAUCAACUAAGGUUAAUUAUUUUGUCCAUAAUUUUUGCAAGAUAACUCUUCAGUCUACUGUUUUAGGUCAAAAUUAAUUUAUUUUGUGUAUAGAACAAUAGUUAUGCAGACCACCCAUUUCAAUAGGAUAAUGUCAAAAUUAAUUUAUGCAGACCAUCCAUUUCAAUAAUCAAUAAUGUUUUUUUGGGUUUGUUUGUAUAAUAGCAGGUUUUUUAAGAUUUGUUUUGUGUAUAAUGUGUCAUUUCACUCCACGUAGCCAAUCUUAGUGUUUGUUCAUGAAUAGAAAGUGGCUCAUAAAACAAUUUAAGGGUUCGAUUGUUCUAUAUUAUCUUUGCUCAUCUCUCUUAGUGUUUGAAAUUAGUUCAAAGAGUGGUCUAAAAAUUCUGCUAACAUAUGAGGAUGACGCUUGCAUUGAUAGUUUUUUUUUUUAAAAAAAAAAAAAAAAUCGCAUUGUAUACACAUAAAUUCCUUGAAAUAUAAUUGUAUACACAACGUACACUACAUACGAGGUCAACUUUACGUCGCAAUAUCCAAGGUGACCUCCAGGAAUGGGUUGAAGAUUUUAAUGAAUGAUGAUAAUAGUAAUAGCAUGAAUAGCACUUCAAAUGUAGUUAUAAGGAGAUUUUCUGCAAUCUACCGAUUUAAGGUCUUUUUUAAUGUAUUUUUUUUAGAAACAAUUUAUUUUGUACCGCAAGCAUAUUUAAUUUCAAUACAUUUUGUAAUAGCAUAUUUUAUUUUGUACAGCACGGGUGGAUGGUCUAGUUAUCACAAUAAACUAAACUAGCCUUGUGAAUGGGGAAAUGUAAUUCCAAAAGCAAGUUUCAUAACCAACAAGAUUCAGAAACCGCAUUGGAACCCCUCGAUAUUCUGCUUCAGCACUUGAACGAGAUAAAGUAGGUUGUCGUUUGGAAGACCAUGAGAGUAAGUUGUCACCAAGAGAUACACAGCAACCAGAGGUGGAUCGUCAGGUAUCUAGGCAACUUCCCCAAUCUGCAUUGUGUAAACAAUCAAUGAUGAUGUAGAAGAAGAGUAAAGUUGCAGUCCAUACUCGCGUGUGCCCUGAAUAUAUCUCAGGAUGCGUCAAAGGGUGUGCAUGUGAUCAUCCAUUGGAUUGUGCAUAAAUAAACAUAUUUGUUGCACUGCAUAAGAAAUGCCAGGCCUUGUGAAGGUGAGGUAUUGUAGGGCGCCAGCAAGGCUGCGAUAUAGAGAAAGGUCUUCAAAUGGGGUGCUAGUUUUGGCUCUCAUCUUUGGUUUAGUAUCAACCGUUGUAGGACAUGGUUUACAAGAAGCCAUUCCAGCACGAUCAAUAAUUUCUUCUGCAUAUUUUUUCUGAGACAAAAAUAAGCCACCAGGAUGACGUGUGACAGCAAUACCCAAAAAAUAAUUCAACAAUCCCAAAUCUUUCAUAGCAAACUCGGAACUAAGGAGUGAUAUGAUAGACUUUCAAAGGUCGUCAGAGGAAGAGGAAGCAGUAAGAAUGAUAUCAUCUACAUACAGUAUGAGGUAGGCCAAAAGGUGGGUUUUUCCUAUAUGGUAUCAGAAAAACUCUGCUUCCCGGAACUCUGGCAGAGGUGGUCGAAAUGGUACUGGUAAUUAUUGAUCUAUAACAAUAACCAUAUACGAAGACUACCUCAAAAAAAAAAAAAAAAAAAACGUACGAAGGAGAAUCAACCAUCUGGAUAAUACAUAUCCUUAUUUUAUUUAUUUGAAUUUGAAUGGCAACCACCAAAGCCACAUAUAGAAAGAAUAUUUUCCUACCAAUCGUACAUGAUGCCCAUAACAAAAGAUAGGUUCCAUAAUAUGGCCCCAUAAUAUCCUUAUCCUUAUAAUUAUGGUUCAGAAAAUAAAAAACCUCGUUAAGUUUUAGGAUUAUUUUAAGUUGAUAAAUAUUAACGAGUAUCUUCAGAGCAUUUUUCAAACAUCUAAAGUGGUAAGAUUUUAUGAAAGUUGAGCAUUUAUUAUAUUGGAAAUUGAAGUCUUUACAUUUCUUUUAAAAAUAAUUUUUUCAUUAUAAAUGCUUAAAAGGUGCUCCAUGGACAUUCAUUAACAGGACUCUUUUAAAUUUUAGAAUGUUAGCAUUUCCCUAAAACACAUGUUAAAGAUAGAGAUAUAUUAUGGCCUCUCACGGUAGCACCCGCCUACGUAGCGAGUUUAUGGUCAAUCUAAGUCAUUUACUAAAUGUCAAAAUUAUGUAUGAAUUGAAUUAUUCAACAAUGUUACAAGCUCCAUGUAUUUGCUACUAGUUGAUGAUCACUAACUAUCCUUUCAUUUUCCAUACAACUAGACCAUUUUUUUUUAGUAUUAUUUGCUCUAUCUCUCCACUUGUUUCCACAAAUAUGAUUAAUUUUUUUCGAAAAUUUUGUUUUUUUAAAUAUGAUAUUAUGGAAAACAAAAUUCGAAAAUUUGAAUAUAUAUUAAUCUUUUCCACAAUUUUUUUAAAUAUUUCCCGAUUAUUUUUAUAAUUUUUCCAGAUUUUUUUCAUUAUUUUUUAUUUUACCAGAUUUUUUUAAUCAUUAUUAAUUUUUACAUUUUUUUUUUAAAUUUUUCAGUAUUUUUUUUAAUCAUUAUUCGUUUUUUAAAUUUUUUUAUUUUUAUUUUAAAAAAAUCACAAAUGCCACGUGGCGUUCAUUUACACGCGUGGCAUGAAAAAAAUUAAACAAAAAAAAAUUGACACGUCACUGCCACGUAGUAGAUUCUGCCGACACAUUGAGGUGAGGGGUCAAUCCUGAAGAAUCUUCAUUUUUCAAGGGUGGAAUCUAAAAAAAAAAAAUUACAGGGGCUAAAACCAAAAGUGCAUUAUAUUACAAAGGCCAAAAACACUAUUAACACUAUAUUAUUACUUCUUCUUUUUUAUAAAAAUCCAAAUAAAAAUCAUUUGCAUUGCAGCCAAUUGGCCAAAUGCAACAUGACAAGCGCAAAAUUGCUCCAUGUUGACUUGUGAGAACUCUUGUUCUAGAUAGAGAACCUUAUAGUUUUUGUUGUCACAGAAAAUGUUAAACAACUUUUUCCAUGCAAUUUAUGCGUCUGAAUCGCGCUUGAUGAUGGUGAUGAGAAUAUAUUCUGAGGUGGUGUCAUAUAUCCAUUAUAAUACGACAACAUCAAAAAGCGGCCAAAGAUUGGGAUUGAUUUCUUUGAGAGAGGGAGUUGUUGGCUUAUUAGUGGGUGAGGGAGGAAUGAUGUGAUGAAAGACUUGAUGAACCCUUGCAUGAAUUUUAAAGAGUUCGAACCACGUAUUAUAUUGGACCCUUUUUUAUACUAAACGUAACCUUGAUGAAAUUGGUGAUAAUUGAAAAUGGUGGUAGAGGGAUGGAUAGGUGUGGAAGGAGUUGGGGUUGAAAUUGUCCUUCGAGUGGUAGUAUUUUUGGGGAUGAUUCGGCCCUGAUGGUGAAUGAAGGAGAAGAGGAACGAUGGCGCUGUAUUAGGUUUACGAGAGAAGGAUGAGUACCAACAACUUACUGAUACCAUGUAAGAAUUAUAAUAAGAUAAUUAUUAGUCGUGUGUCAUUUGCAUUGAGAGGAUCCGUUGACACUAGGUGUCAAACUUUAGUUUGACAUCAAAUCUCAACCGUCUAUUAUGUCUAAUCUAAUGGUCUGUGAUUAUUUAUUAAAUUAACUUGUGUGAUCUUUUUCCCAUGUCUCACCUGAUCCCACGCCGGCUGUUCUGCUCCAUCUCCUUCAACUUAUCAAAGUUAAUAUGGCCAACAAUCAAAUACACACACAAAUUAAUUCUUUUUUUUUUUUAAAGAAGAAGAAGCUAAAUUAGCCCACACAAAUUGGCACCGGAGAGAAUCGAUCCUGAGACCUCGAGGAGGAGCACACUCCCAGAUCCCAAGUCAAUACCACCAGACCAACCCAAAUGAUAAAUAAGGAGUUAAUUCUAAAUAAGGAGUUAUACAUAUAAUUACAUAUUGUUGACAUUAAUUGUUCUCUGUGGGGCAAGAUACUUGAGGUGUAAGUUUCAUAAGAUGCAAGUUCUUUUAAGUCUAAAUUGUCUUAUACUUACAUUAUUUUAGGUCUAAAUUUCAGAAACCAUUAUCACAAAUUUUUUGACAAUCUUAUCUCACAUACUCGUACUAUAUUUUUACUUCUCUUUUUGUUGUUUUGGUUUUUGUUUUCAUACCUAAUUUUCCUUGUAAAUCUAUAGUUGUCUCAUAAAUUAUCGUUAAAAUUGUUGUUCAAAUAACACAACUCCUAUUUCUAAUACUCAAAAUUUGUUCAAAUUAAGUUUUUAAAGAACUUCUAAUAAAAUCAGAUUAAGUUUUUUUGAACUUUCUAAAUACUUAAAUUGAAUUUUCUCGAAUAUACAUCUUGGAGAAAGAAAAAAAAUAAUUAUAGGAGGGAGAUGCAAAACUUACGUUUUCUUUCACUAGAAACAUAUUUUGAGUUUUCAAUAUCAUCAAAAUCAUAAACUUUAUUUAUUUGCAAAUCUAGAGCACAUAUAGCACGAUUUUCUCUCAUAAUUUACAUUGAUAUAACACAUAUUAUGUUCUUACCUUGCCCAAACAUUCGGGAUUUAAUUGAUAAUGUAAAAGAUGUUUUCAAAUGUAGAAUAAGAAAGAUGGAAAACCUCCAAGCCAAAUUAUACACAAGAAUAUAAAACAAAGCAUUUACUUGGUAGAUAAUAUUUUCUUUUUAAACAGCAAAUUUUAUUCAUAAUAAGAUAACCUAACACAAGAAGUGAAGAGGCUAUAGGGGAAAGACACAAGGUAACAAUACAUAAAGACAACUAAACCAAUGCUAAAAAUCCACAUCACAAAACCACCCAAACAACCCUUAAUACAAUAUAAUCACAGCAGAAAAACCUUAACCAAAUCAAGCAAACACACCCAGACCUUCCCCUAACACAAAAUCAAACCAGUUUCCAUCAACACCACAUCAAUAGACCCCUUAAAUAAUUGAACAAAAACCAGCCACCUAAACUUCCUGGUACCAGUAAAUUACAAUUACUUAGUAGAUAUUGAUAUGUCUUGUUGCAUUGAUGUUUCAGAAAUGUGUGGCUGGAGGGCAAUCUUUGGGUCGUAACUUCCACAAUAUCUUCGAGCAGCGAUUGAUUUUGGGAGUUUUGAAUUUUGGGAAGGCAGCAUCAACAGCAAAAUGUUGAGGAGCAAGCAUAAAAGCAGCAAGGAAUAACACUAAUAAGGAUAAGAAAAAGGAAUUAGCCAUUUUAAGAAGUGAUAUUAUUAUUGUGUUGGUGCAUAAUACAUAUGGAGUUAACUGGCUUUAUACUAGUUAGAGACUCAAUGUGAGUUUAUGGUCAAUCUAAGUCAUUGUGUAUGAAUUCAAUCAUUCAACACGUAGGUUCCAUGCAUUUGGAAAACUAGUUGAUGAUUAAAAAUGUUCAAUAUAUUAGGCUAUGAAUUGUUUAUGAAUUGAAUUGUUGAUGAUUAAAACAGUGUACUGGAGGUGGAACAUGUUUUAAUAACAUUAAUAUGUAGAUAUUAUUAUUUAUGCAUUGAACCCUGUAUUGAUAAAAAUUCCACAUAGGUUACUUUAUUUGUCAUUUAUGCUUGAAUAUAAAAAUACAAAACAGUGUUUUUUCUUAUUAAAUUUUUUAAUUAAAUUAUAAAGAUUUUUAAUAACUUAGUGUUUACCAAUUGCACUCAUUAAUUCUUAAUUAUAGAAUGAUUAUCGUAAACUCAUUUUAGAUCCUCCAAAAAUGAAGAAAGCUCAUUCUUAGGACAACACAAAAGAGAAGAAACGCAAGAUUGUUGGCAUAUUGGUAGACUAUUUCUGUUUGACAAAUUCAAUAAGCUAGUUUAUAGUUUAUAAGUCCGAAUGAUUAAAAAAUGUAUGUUUCAUAACUGUUUUUUCAUCACUAGUUUUAUAGUUUAUUUUAUUAGUUUGUAGUUUAUUUUUUAGACGUUAUUCGAGAUUAUACUUUAUCAUUUUUAUUUGUGUUUACCUUUAUUAUUUUGAAUAAUUUUUAGGAUAAUUUCUAGUGUUGAUCUAAGUUGUUUUUCAUUGAAAAUCAAUCUAAUUCAUUGAAUUAGGAUUCAUAUAAUUUGCUUAGGUCAAUUGAUUGCAAAAUCAAUUCAAUUCUUCAAUUACACAUGUAUUGUGUUUUUUAUUUGAUAACUUAGUAAUUUUGUUCAGAUAGGUUUGGUUUGAAAUUGUCUAUUGUUUUGUACAUUGUUCAAAGAAUAUUAAAGUUUGAUUGUAUAAUAAGAUUUGUAUCGUGAAUCUCUCAAUUCUAAGAUUAAAUCUCAUUGCACAUAUAUUUGUCUUUUUCAUUCCUUGAUUGUCAUUGUUCGACCACGAAUCCCAUAGUCAAUUUUGUUGAGAGAGAGAGAGAGAGAGAGAGAGAGAGAGAGAUUGGAUGGACGAGUAAUAUUAGUGCAGAACACAUAGCAAAAGAGAAUCGAAAAAAGAGGAUCCCGAUCCUUUUCUAAAGGACAAUCAACCAUCUAUAUAACGACAAAUUUAAACCCAUCAUGUACAAAAAUAACGAUCAAGGUGAAAAUAUAAACGUAACAUUGAACUAUGUUAUUAAAUUAUAAUAAACUUCAAAGGGUAAAAUUGGUUUUUAGAUAAACAUAUAAGCCAAAUAAGGUUACAAGUUGUUUUUUUUUUUUUUUUGAAAGAAGGGUUACAAGUUAUAAGCUUGUGAAGAAAAGACGGUUAUCAAACACAACCUAUACAGCUCAUGAAGCUACCAUAAAAAAUUUAAUAGUGGGGAUGUUUAAUGAAGAUUGGUAGUACUGUAGUAGUGUUACGUUGAUCAUGGAGCUAUAGUUAUAAAUAAUUUUAAAGUGGGUUAUGUUUAUUGAAGAUAGGGAGAUCGAAGCGGAAAUGCUGGAAAAUGAUGAUGGAAAAAUAUAAAUCGGCGAUUUAUAUUUUAGUCCUUGUGAAAGUUAGAAUUUAAGUUUGAAGGGGUGCACGGGUAUUCAAGGAUCCGAAGAUUUUAAGAAGCACCAAAUUUAAGGUUUACUUGGAGUUUGAGGGAGUGUUUUACAUAGGAGUUGAAGAAUUAGGUUUUAAUUUCAAGGAACUCUUGUAAACAGAUUGUAUUCAACAUUUGUUAGACCAAGUACAAUGGCUUGUUGAAAGUGCCAUUCAACAUGUUGAAUCAUUGUAGUGGGGGGUGUUGAAAUUGAAAAAAAAAAAACUUAGUUGGAGGAAAGAGAUGAUGAACAAGUUUAACUAGCUGAAAGCCUGGCCCUCACAGACACGUGGCGCGACCCGAUUGCAUGAAACAGGCGAGUGCGAUGCACGCGACGACAGGGCGCAUGAGAGAUUGGAAGCGCAGAGAGAGAAAGAGAAAUGGAUAAAUGUUGUGACACUUGGCAUGUUUUGAUUGGCUGCUUGGAUUUUUAUCUUCUUAAUAAUUUGGACUCAAUUAUUUCAUUGUAAAUAAUUUUUUUUUACCAAAAUUCGUGAUUUUUUUUUCUCUAUAAAUAGAGACUUGGAUCAUUUGAUUUGGACACAGAAAAAAAAAAUCAAGUUUUUUCACUCUCUUAAUCUUAUUACUAGCUUUUCUUUAAAAGUUUAAGUCUGAAAUUGAUCCCAAUAACAAUCAAUUCAAUACCCAAAGUUCUUCAGAUUACCCAUCUAGCUACCAAAAUCCAAAUUAUUAUCAACACCCAAAUCAAUUUCUCAACCAACAUCCUUAAAACCCAAAUCAAUUCCCCAACCAACAUCCUCAAAACAUGCCUAAUUUUGGUUUUGCCUCAAAUUUCAAUCACUCAUCCUCUGUUCUAAACAACUUUUAUCCAUAUUAUAGAUCUAUGAUGGGAUAUCCAUCUCAAACACCCCAUUUAAUGGUUAUAUGCCAAUGGUGAAUGAAAAUUUUCAGAGUGUUAGUGAAUAUCCUGAAUUUUCAUCACAAAUAAAUAGUGGUGGAAUGACAAGAGCUAAUGAAGUCACUCCAAUUUCAGAGGAUACAACUCCUAAGAGCAAGAAAAACCAGCAACCAGGAACACUGAACAAAAUUUGGUGUUAAUUAGUGGGUGAAUAAAAUAUGGAACAUGCAUUGUUGUCGGGAGAAACCAGACAAGUGAAGCAUAUUGGGUUAAAAUUGUUGAGUAUUGUAAUGAGCAUCGCUCAUUCGAUUCUCCGCGCGACUCAGUUGCAUGCCGAAACCGUUUUAAUUAUAUGAGCAAAUUAAUAAAUAAAUGGGUUGGUGCUUAUGAUGGUGCUAAGCGUUUGCAAGGAAGCGGUUGGUCGAAAGAUGAUGUUUUGGAAAAAGCCCAUGAAUUAUAUGUGAAACACCCCGUUUUCCCAACUUGAAAUUUUUUGCAUAAAUCAGAGUAAAACAGCUAAACAGGAUGCUGCACUUCUUUCAAAUCUGAAUAUAGUAAAAUUACUAAUUAUCUCAAUCAUCAAAUUAAAUCUUAUUGCAGCGGAAAUUAGUUCAACGUUUAAAACAACCUUGGCACAAAGGCCUCAAUGUAAAAUCUCAUAAAAUUAUUCCAACAACAUGUUCAUAAAACUUCAUAAAAUAAUACGUAAGGAACGUAAAGCAACAACAAAAUUCUCAUCCCGUUACGUAUCAGAGCACCUAAGACACACGUGAGAGAAUCCACUCACGACCGCAACUAUUCUUGGUUACCUGCAAGUUACUCAAUUGUGAGGGCAACAUUUCCAAGCAGAAGGGGUGAGAUUUCACAUUCAAUAAUAAUAAGCAUAUAAUUCAUCAAAUUCAUUUAACAACUUAAACUUCAUCAAUUAGUAACACUAACUCUUCGCAUAAAUACUUCAUUAAUUAAUAACAUUAACUCUUCCUAUAAGACUUCAUUAAUAACUCAAUCAACUUCUAAUCAUCAUUAACUUCAUAUUCAUCACAUUAUAUACAACGUCAUACAACACGUAAUAAUCAAAUCAUAAACAUCAUCAUAUAAAAACCUAAUCAUCACAUCAUAAACAUCAUCUUAUAACAUCAUAUAGUUCACAUCAUAAACAUCAUCAUAUAACAACAUAAACAUCACAACAUAAACAUGAAAUAAGGUUAUAAGGUUGCACUCAAAAAGUUUUAGUGAUAGUCAACUAUGAGAAUAGGUCUAAUUACUGUUGAGAUACAUUCAUGUAAUCUUAUAGGAAACAUGAAAUACCAAAGAACAUCUUGUCCUUAGAAAUGAAUAGAGAAAUAGAUAUGGAAUGUUUAGGAUUUAACUUUAUGAUGAAAACCGCAAUCUCAUGACGCAUUUUUAUAUCUAAAUUUUAAUCAAAAAAAUAAUUGCACUUAAUCAAUUUAUUUUUUUCAGCUAAUCAAAACUAAAAAUUAGAUUAGUAUUUACUUAAAGUCCAUGUGAAUCGAUAUUUUACUAGAACCGUACACUUGCGUAAACCUAUCAAAGACCCUAUUGAUGUAUAUGGAAUCGUAGUUACCUAUCAAAGCUACAAAAAAAAUUAGAUCGGAAUUGGGGUCUUUCUGACCAUUCUUGAAGUCGAAGGGGGUUCGUUUACUGGAUGUAGCAUCGAAGGCUUGAGUGAAGAGUUCGAAGGGGUGCACGGGUAUUCAAGGAUCUGAAGAUUCAAGAAGCACCAAAUUUAAGGGUUACUUGGAGUUUGGGGGAGUGUUUUACAUAGGAGUUGAAGAAUUAGGUUUUAAUUUCAAGGAACUUUUGUAAACACAUUUGUAUUCAACUAUUAUAAAAAUAUCGGUGUUAUCUCUCUUUCCCUAUCCUCUUUACUUUUAGCUAUUGCAUGUGAUUAAUUGAAUAAUUUUUAGAAUAAUUGCUAGUGUUGAUCUAAGUUAUUUUUCAUUGAAAAUCAAUCUAAUUCAUUGAAUUAGGUUUCAUAUAAUUUGCUUAGAUCAAUUGAUUGAAAAAUCUAUUCAAUUCUUCAAUUACACAUGUAUUGUGUUUUUGAUUUGAUAACUUAGUAAUUUUGUUCAUGUAGGUUUUUGGUUUGAAAUUGUCUAUUGUUUUGUACAUUGUUCAAGGAAUAUUAAAGUUUGAUUGUAUAAUAAGAUUUGUAUCGUGAAUCUCUCAAUUCUAAGAUUAAGUCUCAUUGCACAUAUAUUUGACCUUUUGAUUCCUUGAUUGUCAUUGUUCGACCACGAAUCCAAUAGUCAAUUUUGUUGAGAGAGAGAGAGAGAGAGAGAGAUUGGAUGGACGGGUGAUAUUAGUGCAGAACACAGCAAAAGAGAAUCGAAAAAAGAGGAUCUUGAUCCUUUUCUAAAGGAGAAUCAACCAUCUAUAUAAUGACAAUUUUAAACCCAUCAAGUACAAAAAUAACGAGCAAGGUGAAAAUAUAAACGUAACAUUGAACUAUUUUAUUAAAUGAUAAUAAACUUCAAAGGGUAAAAUUGGUUUUUAGAUAAACAUAUAAGGGGUUACUAAAAAGGGUUACAAGUUUUUUUUUUUUUUUGAAAGAAGGGAUACAAAUUAUAAGCUUGCGAAGAAAAGACGGUUAUCAAACACAGCCUAUGCAGCUCAUGAAGCUGCCAUAAAAAUUUUAAUAGUGGGGGAUAUUUAAUGAAGAUUAGUAGUAGUGUUACGUUAUUCAUGGAGCUAUAGUUAUAAAUAAUUUUAAAGUGGGUAAUGUUUAUUGAAGAUAGGGAGAUCGAAGCGGAAAUGCUGAAAAAUGAUGAUGGAAAAAUAUAAAUCGAUAUUAUCUUUUAUUUUAGUCAGAAUUUAAAUUUGGUAUUUUUCAGUAUCCAUGUCGGCGAUUUUGACUAAUUUUGAUUAAGUAAACGUCUUAGUUGACUUCAAUGACUAAAGUAACUAAGAACAAAGAGUGAAUGAUUUAAUUCGGGUUUUAUCUAAGUCAUUGACCAAAAUUACAUCUUGUUACACUUUUAAGGAGAAAAAUGGUUGUUUUCCCAAUAAUGUUUUCCAAUAUUAAAUUAAUGUUGUUUUCUGCCUUAGGGAUGUUACCAAUUUGUUAUGUUGGAGUUACCUUUAGUGCUAAGAAACCUUUAGACCAAUAAAAAUAUUUUGAGUCCCUUUUAAAGUGGUAAAUACACUAAUAUAAAGUCAUUGUCAAUUGAUGUUAGGACUAUUUAUUAAGAAUGCAAUAUUUACUUGUUGUUCUUUGGUAGACACUUAGAGUUCAUUUUUGUGGACUGUAUGAACUUGGUUAUAUCAUAGUUAACGUCGUAUUAGACAAACGGAAAUGAAAGACUCAUCUCUCACUCUACUUAGGACUAGCCAAUUGUCAAACUUGGUUACAAUUUAUUUUGUUUGGAAAACUUAAUUUGAAUUUUCUACAAGUCAUGAAAAAUUCAAAUUUCUGUUUUCUGAUUAGAAGAUCAAUAAACGGUUCAAUAUCAUCACAAUCUCCAAAUCAUAACUUCAUUCAUUUGCAAAUCUAGAGCACAUAUAUCACGAUUUUCUAUCAUGAUUUGCAUUGAUAUAAGUAAGUAUAACACAUAUAUUUUACUCUUAACUUAGCCAUACAUUGCGGAUUUACUUAGUAGAUAGAGUAAUGUUUUUUUUUAAACAACAAAUUUUAUUCAUAAGCUAACCCAACACAAGAAGUGAAGAGGCUAGAGGAAACACACAAGACAACAGAUACAUAAAGACAACUAAACCACCCAAACAAUCCUUAAUACAAUAGAAUAACAUCAGAAAAACCAGCCACCUAAACUUCCUAGUACCAUGAAACAAUGUCAGGUCGCGUUGAUUUUUAGGCUGGAGGGCAAUGUUUGUUUCGGAAGUUCUCGACUUUCUUCAACAAAGGGUAGUGCUUUUUGCAGAAAUCGGGUAUAUGGGGUAUAUGUACUGGUUUAUCUUUUGGGAUUAAAUUUUUGAUUUUUGGGAUUAAUGCUUCAACUGCGGGACCAAAGCUAACAGCAUCAGCAAAAUGUUGUUGAGGAGCAAGCAUAAAAGCAGCAAGGAAUAACACUAAUAAGGAUAAGAAAAAUGAAUUAGCCAUUUUAAGAAGUGAUAUAAUUAUUAGUGUUGGUGCAUAAUACAUAUGGAGUAUACUGGUUUUAUACUAGUUAGAGACUCAAUGUGAGUUUAUGGUCAAUCUAAGUCAUGUACUAAAUGUCAAAAUUGUGUAUGAAUUGAAUUAUUCAACAAUGUUACAUGUUCCUUCCAUGUAUUUGCUACUAGUUGAUGAUCAGUCCCUACCUAUCCUUUAAUUUUCCACACAACAAGACCAUUCAGUAAUAUUGGCUCUAUCUCUCCACUUGUUUGCCCACCAUGGUUUAGCUGAAAAAACAGUGCAACUUGUUUCAAUAACAUUAAUAUAUAUAGAUAUUACUAUUUAUAUAUGCAUUGAACCCUGUAUGAUUUAUUUAUUUAUAAAAAUUCCAAAUAGGUUACUUUAUUUGUCAUUUAUGCUUGAAUAUGAAAAUACAAAACAGUGUUUUUUCUCAUUAAAAUUUUUACUAUAAAGAUUUUUAAUAACUUAGUGUUUACCAAUUGCACUUACUAAUUCUUAAUUAUAGAAUGAUGAUUAAAAAUUGUAUGUUUCAUAACUGUUUUUCAUCACAAGUUUAUAGUUCAUUUCUCAGACGUUAUUCCAAAUAACGUUUGAGAUUAUAGGUUAUCAUUUUAAUUUCAUGUUUACCUUUAUUAUUUUGUUUAAGAUUUAUUUUUAUCCUUUUUAAUAUAUACUAUUUAUAAAGAAAAUAUAGGGAUUUUGGGCUGACUUUUUUGUUAUUCCAAUUAUACCUUUAAAUAAAAAAAAAUCAAAUAAUGUGAUAUGGUUGGUGUUAAAUAAGAAUUUUUGUUAUAUUAUUGUUGUCAUUGAGAAUCAUAAAUAUUGUUUGUUGAGUUUGUUACAUUUGAAAGUCACAUAUCAUACUUUUAAUUUUUGUCCAUAUCAAAAAAUUUAUAUAAAAUAUCGUUUGUAAUUUACACGCAGAAUUUCAAUAAAUUAUCGUAAAUAAUUUAUACACAUUAACGUAAUAAAAAGAGCAGAAAGAUGAACAUGUGAAUGCUCGUCUUUAGUAAGUAAGAUUGUCUUAUAUACUUACAUUAUUUUAGGUCUAAAUUUCAGAAACCAUUAUUUGACAAUAUUUUUGACAAUUUUAUCUCACAUACUCACAUUAUAUUUUUACUUCUCUUUUUGUUGUUUUGGUUUUUAUUUUCAUACCUAAUUUUCCUUGUAAAUCUAUAGUUGUCUCAUAAAUUAUCGUUAAAAUUGUUGUUCAAAUAACACAACUCUUAUUUCUAAUACUCAAAAUUUGUUCAAAUUAAGUUUUUAAAGAACUUCUAAUAAAGUCAGAUUAAGGUUUUUUUGAACUUUUUAAAUACUUAAAUUGAAUUUUCUCCAAUAUACAUAUUAGAGAAAGAAAAAAAAUAAUGAUAGGAGGGAGAUGCAAAACUUAUGUUUUCUUUCUCUAGAAACAUAUUUUGAGUUUUCAAUAUCAUCAAAAUCUCAAAAUCAUAAACUUUAUUUAUUUGCAAAUCUAGAGCACAUAUAGCGCGAUUUUCUUUCAUAAUUUACAUUGAUAUAACACAUAUUAUGUUCUUACCUUGCCCAAACAUUCGGGAUUUAAUUGAUGAUGUAAAAGACGUUUUUAAAUGUAGAAUAAGAAAGAUGGAAAACCUCCAAGCCAAAUUAUACACAAGAUAUACAAAUUAUACACAAAAAUUUCAAAUUUCAAUUUUCUCGAGAGUAUUCUUAAAUGAUCAAUCAAUGAUUCAAUAUAAUCACAAUCUCAAAAUCAUAAACUUUAUUUAUUUUCAAAUCUAGAGCACAUAUAGCGGGAGGAGAUUGUCUCGUGUGAUUUUUCUCUCAUGUGUAAUCCAGACCCUCCAUUAAAUAUGUGAGAUAAUGUGUUUGUAAUAUAAAAUGACCGAACGCAAGAUAAAUUGUUUUUUUCUAAACAAUAAAUUUUAUUCAUAAGCAUUCCCGUGAGCUUAGCUCAGUUGGUACGGAUAUUGCAUUUUAUAUGCAGUGGCUGAG